AGGGCUACUAAAAUAAAAUUUAAAUAUAAUUCUCCCGAAAAUAAGUGAGCUACUCUUCCCCUGAUAAGACCAUUAUUUAUAAAUGUGGCAAAAUUUACAGAAAGAGGGAAAAGUAGAGAUUAAAUGUCAACCGCACUUAUAGAUAGCUGGCUGCUUCUUUAAAUGUAUCAAGUACAACCUAUUUAUAUAGAAAAACUUGUUUCGGGACUAGCUGAAACAAGACAAACUUCGGUGUACCUAAUAAUUAUUUUAUAAUUUAGGCUUAAAAACUGCCUUACCUUUAAACCCAUCACAGGGUAUUAGUAAAAAAAUUAUAAUUAUAUACUCACCUAAUAAAGUAAAGAGCAACUAGGAAAAACUUAUUCCUAGAAUAAACUGGUAGCAUAAGUAGAAACAUAUUUUUAACAUACAUCAAUUAAAUAAUCAAUAAAGGAACUCGGCAAAUUAGGGCCACGACUGUUUAACAAAAACAUAGCUUCUAGAUUAACUAUUAGAAGUUACGUCUGCCCAGUGACAUUAAGUUUAACGGCCGCGUUAAGUGCUAAGGUAGCAUAAUAAUUUGUCUUUUCAUUGAAGACUAGUAUGAAAGGCAUAACGAAGCCCAGCUGUCUCUAUUGAUUUAAUCGAAAUUGAUUUUAAAGUGAAAAAUCUUUAAUUUAAUUAGAGGACGAGAAGACCCUGUAGAGUUUACAGUGCAAGUAAAAGAAAAAUCUAAUUUUUACUUUUACUACACUUUGAUUGGGGCAAUAGAGGAACAAAAGAAAAUCCUCCUAUUAUAAAUUAAUAUAUUAAAAAUGAUCCUCAAAGAGAAUAAAGAAAAACUACCUCAGGGAUAACAGCGUAAUCUUUCCAGAGAGACCUAAUCGAAGGAAGGUU
Molecule: ribosomal RNA, 876 nt
Filed under: Conopeum seurati
Lineage: Eukaryota; Metazoa; Bryozoa; Gymnolaemata; Cheilostomatida; Electridae
Description: partial large subunit ribosomal RNA
Rfam family: Archaeal large subunit ribosomal RNA (bases 397-876)
Source: RNAcentral